This 6573-nucleotide small RNA is filed under the name Pongo abelii (Sumatran orangutan). Its description in RNAcentral is "retained intron". Lineage: Eukaryota; Metazoa; Chordata; Mammalia; Primates; Hominidae. The record is from RNAcentral.
CGGCGGUGGAACUCCGGGGAGAUGCUGGUUGGGGCAGAGGUGAUGAUCCAGGAUGCGGGCCAGCGUAGGGGUCUUGGUGGGCAUGCUGGGGUCGGAUGGAGCGCAGGAGGGAGAGGAGUCCCCGGGACAGGUGGGUACCUGGGCUGGAGGCGGGGCCUGAGGUGGGCAGGUGCAGGGGACGUGACUUCAUUCAGGGGCAGGGCCUGGGGCUAGGCUGAAGCUGGGAGUGAGGAUCCCGCUCUCGGGUGUAAUUGGAGGGGACCCGCGGUUGGGCGAGGCAGGGCUCACAGGGACACCCCCGUUCUCCUCCCCAGGGAGAUGGUGCUCGUCGUGCACAGCUGUGGAGAUUCAGUGACCUGCUGGGUGUUGCUGAGCUGUGAGGAAGUUCAGGUCUGGCUGCAGUGAUGAGGCUGUGACUCAAUCAAUCGCUGCUGAUGCUCCCAGGACCUUUAUCAGCUUAGUCCCAGGGGGAAGCAUUUUAAACCCCCACCUCCAUUUCCUCAUCUGUAAGAUGCAAAUAAGAGUCACCCCUGCCUUACGGGACGGAGCCGUAUAAUGCCCGGAACAGUGCCUGCUGAACAGAGGGGCUUGCUGCCAGCUCCCUCUCCCUCCUUGUCUCUUACCUGUCUGCUGUCUGGGACGGGAUGAAGCGGGGCCCUUGUGUUGCCCCAACCCUGGCUGUUGGCUAAGAGCCCACGUGAUCUGCCUGGCAGAGGAGUUCCUUCCAGAAGAACCAGGGCAGCUUCUGCCCCUAGAGGGCCAAUGCCCUAGGUGAGUACAGUCCCCUGGCCCCAGCCUGGUUCAGCUCUGGGAAGAGGGUUCGCAGUUUUGCAAUCCAGGCCGGGACAGCCGAGUCCUGAUCUUGGUAUUCAGGGCUGAGCCUGGAGGGGGCUUGUGAUGCCUGACUCUGUAUCUCUCUCUGGCCCCAUGCCUUGGUAGCUGUGAGGUGUCACUGCUUUGGGUGACUUGAUCUGGCUGUGCCGGAUGAGCACGGAAGAAAUAGUAGAAGACUCGGAAUUAGAAGACGUGAGUGGGCUUUGGCCCCAGCCUCCCUACCCCACUCCCUGCCCUGGGCUGCCUGUGACCAACCUUCUUGCUUCUGCAGGCACACUGGACAGCCCUGCUGGAGACCUGAUCCUCAGUGUCCCUAACCCCGUCCAGAUACUGGUAGCCUAGGCGAGGUCCUCAAAGACCAGUGGGACAUCGACUUCAGCCCAUCUCCAGGCUCUUUUUUUUUUUUUUUUUUUUUGAGACAGUUUCACUCUUGUUGCCCAGGCUGGAGUGCGAUGGCGCGAUCUCGGCUCACCACAACCUCCGCCUCCCGGGUUCAAGCGAUUCUCCUGCCUCAGCCUCCAGAGUAUCUGGGAUUAUAGGCAUGUGUCACCACGCUUGGCUAAUUUUCUAUUUUUAGUAGAGACAGGAUUUCUCCAUGUUGGCCAGGCUGGUCUCGAACUACCAACUUCAGGUGAUCUGCCUGCCUUGGCCUACCAAAGUGCUGGGAUUACAGGAGUGAGCCACUGUGCCCAGCCUUCUCCAGGCUCUUGACACCUUAGCCAGAAAUAAUUUAAGGACAAGUCCAAAAGUAAUGAACGCAGGGAGAUUUCUUGCAGAGUAAAAGGACUCACUCAAGAAGAGGAAUGUGGGGGUCCUCAAGAGAGUGUCUCAUGCCCUACAAGGUUUGGGGCUGACCUUUAUGGGCUUCUUUAACUAAAGAGGGGUAUAUUCAUGAAGAUUCCAGGAAAAGGUAAAGAUUUCUCAAGACCGUGGUGCCACAAUUUAUGCCCAAAUACAGGUGUUCCUGGAGCUGUCUUGGCACUGGUGGGUGUAUGGUUUCAUAUGUUACUGAUCGUACAGUGAGAUCCUAGGUGAAACUACAUCAAAUACAGCGCCAUGUUGUGUCUGGUUGGUGGUAGCCAGCUUGGUCCUCAUCCUAUUUUUCAGGGACUUACUGGCCCUUAGCACAUGCAGCUAUUUCAAGUUUCCUUCUUCUGCUCAUGUGAAACUGCUGCCUGGGAUUUUCUAUUCACUUGCUAGCACUCUAUUAAUCUCACAUUCUCACCUCUUUUCUGUGCCACCCCGUGUGGGUCCGACAGGUUGUUACUAGAGUGCAAUACAAAGUCUUAGUCAAGGCGGGACCUCCUGAAGGCUGCUGAGGGCAGGGGCGGAGCUAGUAGCCUGAGGACCUGCCAGUCACGGGGAUUCCUCAGGGGCCCAGAGGAGGGAGGACGGGCCCAUGGCCCUAGCAUAUGAGAAGCCUCUCCUCUGCCUGGAAGCCCCAGGCCUCAGCUUCCCCCACACUCCCACCUGCCCGCUUGCCUCUGAACUCACACGUUUCUUGGAAGGCUUGGGAGACUCACCUUUACUCAGAUGGUUGGUUACCUGUCUCGUGCCCAGCUUCACCCUGGACUUUAAAGUGAGGAUAAAGAAGGAGGAGGGUGGGGGGAUGCCCUCCUACGGGGCCCUGUGGCUUCCAAGCCUCGGCCUCCUCUGUUCUCUUGUUUGUGGAGCCUCCUUCAAACCCAGGGAAACAAAACCACCUGCCACAGGUUGUGGUUCUAGGAUCUUCUAUCGAUGUUCUGUGAGGUCCCCAGGAGCCAUGAAGCUGGGGCUGGCUCCCAGGGCAAUGGGACUGCAGUGUCCUUGUUCUUUCUUGUUCUAUGCAUCCAUGCUCUGCUCCACCCCUGCCCCUUCACUCUGCCCACACACAUCCCUCCAGACUGGCCUUGUGGUCAGAGCCUGGAGUGCAUGGGCUGCUGGGGGCCUGUGGGCUGCACUGGGCCAGAACCCCUGGCGCCUUCAAGACUGGCCUGGAGCCAGCAGGUAGGUGACCUUUCCGGGCCUAUCCCAUCUUUCUCCUCCAAUCCCUCCCCUCUCUUGCCUGGGUCAAUUAGAGAAAGCUUGUCUGUUGGCCUGCCUGGCAGGGUGGAGUUCAGGGGCAGGUCAGGAGCCCCGUGAUAGCUCAAAAAACAAACAAAACAAAACAAACAAACCUACAAAAACAAACGCCACCAUUGGGCCCUUUCCCCUUUCAUUCUUCUGUUUUCUACACACCAAACCCAGUCGUGGCUUUGGAGAUCACUUUAAGCUUGUCUCUAGCUGGCAAACUAAGGAGGGUAAUGGAGAAGCUCCCCCACCCCCAACCCCGCCUCUUCCUUCUGGGAGCAAAUCUAAGUCUGGCCCUGGCUCCAGAUCCCUCCCAAACUGGACCUACGAAAUCCUCAGCACAGAAAACACCCCUGCGUUCCACACACAGCACCCACACUCAGCCACUGCGGGCAAGGAGGGCACAGGCCAGGUUCCCGAGAGCUCAGGUGAGUGACACACUGGAAUGGCCCAGGGCGCCCUCACCCUGCUCAGCUUCUGGCUCCAACAUUCCAGAAGCUAAGGCCUCUGCCAUCCCUGCCCUUUCCCAUCCCCCUCUCUUCCUUUUUUUUUUUUUCCCGGGGAGGCCAGGUCUUGCUGUCACCCAGGCUGGAGUGCUGUGGGAUCCUGGCCACUGCAGCCUUGAAUUCCUGGGCUCAAGUGAUUCUCCUGCCUCAGCCUCUGGAGUAGCUAGGACUAGAGGCCCUCACCAUCCUGCCUGGUUAAUUUUUUAAAAUAUUUUUUAAAGAUUUUAAAAGAUGGGGUCUUGCAAUGCUGCCCUAGGUUGGUCUCCAACUCCUGGCCUCGGCCUCCCUAGGGUCUGGGAUUACAGGCAGGAGCCACCCUGCCUGGGCCCAUCCUUUUGCUGAGUCAUCAGAGUUUUGUUCAUUCUCAUACCAGCUCUGGCCCCUAGUAGCAGCUCAGUUCCUCAAUGGGCCGUGUUUGUCCUGGAGCCCAGAUACACUGUGGCUUGGCAAGUGGAUCACGGACCUGGCUGGCCUGGGAGGUUUCCACAUGUGAGGGGUUCAGGGGCUCAAGGAGGGGAGCACUGGGGAGAGGAGCCCACUGGGUGGAGGCUGGGGGGUCACAGCAGGAAAUGGUGAGACAAAGGGCGCUGGCUGGCAGGGAGACAGCACAGGCAGGUCCUAGAGCUUCCUCAGUGCAGCUGGACUCUCCUGGAGACCUUCACACACCCUGAUAUCUGGGCCUCCUGCCCCACGAGGGUGCUUUCACUGGUCUGCACCAUGGCCCAGGCCCUGGGAUUUUGAACAGCUCUGCAGGUGAAUGAAAGGUGCAGCCAGGCUGGGGAACCACCGCAUUAGAGCCCGACCUGGUUUUCAGCCCCAGCCCCGCCACUGACUGGCUUUGUGAGCACGGGCAAGUCACUCAGCCUCCCUAGGCCUCAGUGACUUCCCUGAAAGCAAGAAUUCCACUUUCUUGCUGUUGUGAUGGUGUUAAGGGAAUGGGCCUGGCUCUGGCCCCUGACGCAGGAACAUGGAGCUGAUCCAGGACACCUCCCGCCCGCCACUGGAGUACGUGAAUGGGGUCCCGCUCAUCAAAUACUUUGCAGAGGCACUGGGGCCCCUGCAGAGCUUCCGGGCCCGGCCUGAUGACCUGCUCAUCAGCACCUACCCCAAGUCCGGUAGGUAAGGAGGGCCACCCACCCUCUCCCAGGCGGCAGUCCCCAGCUUGGCCAGCGAGGUCGUGCCCUCAGCCUGCUCACCUCCCAUCUCCCUUCCUCUCCAGGUACCACCUGGGUGAGCCAGAUUUUGGACAUGAUCUACCAGGGUGGUGACCUGGAGAAGUGUCACCGAGCUCCCAUCUUCAUGCGGGUGCCCUUCCUUGAGUUCAAAGCCCCAGGGAUUCCCUCAGGUAUGUGUGUGUCCUGGGUACAAGGGGAGUGGAGGAAGACAGGGCUAGGGCUUCAGCUCACCAGACCUUCCCUGAUCCACUGCUCAGGGAUGGAGACUCUGAAAGACACACCGGCCCCACGACUCCUGAAGACACACCUGCCCCUGGCUCUGCUGCCCCAGACUCUGUUGGAUCAGAAGGUCAAGGUGAGGCCAGGCACAGUGUUUCACACCCGCAAUCUCAGGACUUUGGGAAGCUGAGCUGGGAAGAUCCCUUGAAGCCAGAUGUUCCAGAGCAAUCUCUUCCAAAAAAAAUUAGCUGGGCGCGGUGGCGGGCGCCUGUAGUCCCAGGUACUCGGGAGGCUGAGGCAGAAGAAUGGCAUGAACCUGGGAGGCGGAGCUUGCAGUGAGCCGAGAUCCCACCACUGCACUCCAGCCUGGGUGAGGCAACAGAAAAAAAGAAAGAUCAAGGUCUUUUUUUUUUUUUUUUUUUUUUUGAGACUGUCUGUCUCAAUAAAUAAAUAAAUGAAUAAAUAAAAAUAAAAUAAAAUAAAGUAAAAUAAAUCCCACAAUUAAAAGAAAAAGCAAAGGUCCAGGUGUGGGGCAUGUGAAUCCCGGGAAGGAGGCCCCGGCUCAGUCCAGCUUUGGUCCUGUUCUUCUGGGAAAGUCACCUCACUUCCUCCAUCCUUGUCUCAUCUUCUGCGGGGGGCGGGGACUGUCUGCCUCUUGCUCUGAUGAUCAAGAACAUGAGACUCUUCCGUGUAGACCUAAGAAAGGUAGAGGGUGUGUCCUCACAAGCCCACAAAAUUUGGUGGUGGUGGGAUCACGCCUGGUGGAGCACGCCUUGCUCCAGAUCGGGGUGUGACGCAUUGAUGCAGAUUAUAUUACUAUAGAAUAUGAUGGUCUCAGGGACCAGGCAGGACUUUUGCUUCCGAGCAGGGUUCAGAUCCCGGCUCGGCCCUACCUGUGCCGUGAGAUCUCAAGCAAGGCAGCCUCUAAGCCUCAGGUUCCUCCUUUGCCAAUCCAAGAGAUGAGCUGGCCUGGGGCGGGCUGUGUGGUGAUGGUGCUGGGGUCGAGUCCUCUGCCCCUGCAGGUGGUCUAUGUUGCCCGCAACGCGAAGGAUGUGGCAGUUUCCUACUAUCACUUCUACCACAUGGCCAAGGUGCACCCUGAGCCUGGGACCUGGGACAGCUUCCUGGAGAAGUUCAUGGCCGGAGAAGUGUCCUACGGGUCCUGGUACCAGCACGUGCACGAGUGGUGGGAGCUGAGCCGCACCCACCCUGUUCUCUACCUCUUCUAUGAAGACAUGAAGGAGAACCCCAAAAGGGAGAUUCAAAAGAUCCUGGAGUUUGUGGGGCGCUCCCUGCCAGAGGAGACCGUGAACUUCAUGGUUCAGCACACGUCGUUCAAGGAGAUGAAGAAGAACCCUAUGACCAACUACACCACCAUCCCCCAGGAUCUUAUGGACCACAGCAUCUCCCCCUUCAUGAGGAAAGGCAUGGCUGGGGACUGGAAGACCACCUUCACCGUGGCGCAGAAUGAGCGCUUCGAUGCGGACUAUGCGGAGAAGAUGGCAGGCUGCAGCCUCAGCUUCCGCUCUGAGCUGUGAGAGGGGCUCCUGGGGUCACUGCAGAGGGAGUGUGUGAAUCAAGCCUGAUCAAGGGGAGAAUCAAUCCUGACCAAGAAUAAAAUAUGAAUUGAGGGCCAGGGACGGUAGGUCAUGUCUGUAAUCGCAGCAAUUUGGGAGGUUGAGGUGGGAGGAUCAUUUGAGCUCAGGAGUUCAAGACCAACCUGGGCAACAUAGUGAGAUUCUGUUGAACAACAACAACAAAAUAACAAAAUAAAAUCAAUUUUUGAAAAG